GAUGAACGCUGGCGGCGUGUCUAAGGCAUGCAAGUCGAAUGGUCUGGUUUCCAGACCAUGGCAAACGGGAGAGUAACACAUUGGUAAUUUACCCCAAAGACGAGAAUAAUCCAGAGAAAUCUGGAAUAAUACUCGAUAUUAUGCAUUGUCGCCUGAUAAUGCAUCAAAGCUCCGGCGCUUUGGGAGAAGCCUAUGGUCUAUCAGCUAGUUGGUGAGGUAAUGGCCCACCAAGGCGACGACGGAUAGCGGGUGUGAGAGCAUGACCCGUCUCACUGGGACUGAGACACUGCCCAGACUCCUACGGGAGGCUGCAGUCAAGAAUAUUCCUCAAUGGCCGAAAGGCUGAAGGAGCGACGCCGCGUGUAUGAUGAAGCCCUUCGGGGUUAAAAGGUACUUUUAACCGGGACGAAGUACUGACGGUACCGGUUGAAUAAGGGGCUGCUAACCUCGUGCCAGCAGCCGGCGUAAGCUAGUCUACG
This 479-nucleotide ribosomal RNA is filed under the name uncultured bacterium. RNAcentral describes it as "bacterial SSU rRNA". It matches the Rfam family "Bacterial small subunit ribosomal RNA", at positions 28 to 536 of the family's 1533-position model. The record is from RNAcentral.